RNAcentral lists this microRNA precursor (85 nucleotides) under Xyrichtys novacula (pearly razorfish). Lineage: Eukaryota; Metazoa; Chordata; Actinopteri; Labriformes; Labridae. The record is from RNAcentral.
GAUUAGUGUAGUCCUUUAACUCUGCGAAUGAAACAUGUUCAGUUCAUUAUCCAUUCAUUCGCAGAGUUAAAGGACUACACUAAUC